RNAcentral lists this microRNA precursor (78 nucleotides) under Medicago truncatula (barrel medic). Its description in RNAcentral is "MIR5269 microRNA precursor family". It matches the Rfam family "MIR5269 microRNA precursor family". Lineage: Eukaryota; Viridiplantae; Streptophyta; Magnoliopsida; Fabales; Fabaceae. The record is from Rfam by way of RNAcentral.
UUGGUUUAAAUUAUUAUGAUCUACACAUUGAAAAUAGAACUCACACAAAGUGGUGGAACAUACAUUGAUUUCAUCCAA